RNAcentral lists this ribosomal RNA (274 nucleotides) under uncultured bacterium. RNAcentral's name for it is "partial 16S ribosomal RNA". It matches the Rfam family "Bacterial small subunit ribosomal RNA", at positions 523 to 796 of the family's 1533-position model. The record is from RNAcentral.
AUACGGAGGGUCCAAGCGUUAUCCGGAAUCAUAGGGUUUAAAGGGUCCGCAGGCGGUCAAUUAAGUCAGAGGUGAAAGCCCAUCGCUCAACGAUGGAACUGCCUUUGAUACUGGUUGACUUGAGUUAUACGGAAGUAGAUAGAAUAAGUAGUGUAGCGGUGAAAUGCAUAGAUAUUACUUAGAAUACCGAUUGCGAAGGCAGUCUACUACGUAUAUACUGACGCUGAGGGACGAAAGCGUGGGGAGCGAACAGGAUUAGAAACCCUAGUAGUCC